UUGAAUUUAAAAUGGUUAUAACUUUCAAACGGUAACUCCGUUUUUAACAAAUGAGCUAUCCACGGAAAGGGGAAGAAGUCUACUUUUUAAUGGUCUUUGUUUUAAAGUCUAUAUCUGAUUUAUAUAUAAUAUAUAAGUUGUUGUCGGUUGACCGUUUCAAGUUUGUAUAAUAGUCAGGACCUGUUGUAUACGCAUGUAUUGAUAAGAAUACACAUGUUUCUGUUAUUAAAUUAUGUUUUUAUUAAAAAAAAAAAAAACAAAGUUGGGCGUUUCAUAAAUACUUUCCUUCUAAUCAGAAAAUUUCCAUUGCCAAAAGUUGUAUCCACCCAAAAUGCCCAAAAAAAACACUAUCUUCAUAUCCCCCAUCCAUACUAUGAACCAUUCAAGAAGUAGCGUUAUUCGGACAGUGUGACUCAACAUCAUUUGUAUACCCUAAUUUUUCGCCCGAAAUAGAAGACAAUGAAUGCACAAGCUCCAAUAGAUCGGAGAGGUGGAUUGAUGUCUCCAUUAUAGCCUGGUUUGAAAUCAUCCAAGGGAGAUCAUGCGAGGAGUAACUGAUUACACUUUUUGAGCCUUAACUGAUAACCGUGACAAAAACAUUUUUGUUGCACCUUAUUGGCAAAGUGAGCAUUGGGUAUUGAUUGUGAUUGAUCAUCAUCAUCCCCUGGGUUACAUUCUCGAUUCAUUGUUUAAAGACGGUGGGAAGUCCAAAAGCACAUACAAAGUAACCAAACUUAUAGAAAGUGCAACCAACAACAAGGCGGCUGGGAGUGUGGUUAUUACGUCAUGCGUUGGUUACAUAGAUUUGCGCUCCAAGGUCCUGGUAUUCUUUUUAAGAAGGAAACAUCUUGCCUUCCACAAGUUGAGUUGGAUAAAGUUGUUCAUACGUGGAUCGAGAAAUUUCUUGCAGCAAAUCAUCUACCUGGGAAAAGAUUCCUCCAUCCAAACAUGAGAGCACUCCAUUAAUCUUGGAAUGAAAGAAACCGCAACAUUGAAGUAGAAAACCUGUUUGUGGGUGAAUCUCGUAUGUUUACCUGAUGAUUGGGUUUCUUUAUGUAUUUCAAACAAUAUGUUAGAGUAUUUUACUUUGAAUGCUUUGUUUAGGGUAACUUGUUUAAAUAUAGAAUUGUAGUGAUGCUUGCGUUUUAACUUGGAAUGUUGUACACAAACUUGGGUCUUAUUGAAGUUUUUCU
This is a long non-coding RNA of Erigeron canadensis, 1193 nucleotides long. RefSeq lists it as uncharacterized. Lineage: Eukaryota; Viridiplantae; Streptophyta; Magnoliopsida; Asterales; Asteraceae. The record is from RefSeq and is a predicted model, not a curated record. The transcript has 5 exons.